RNAcentral lists this long non-coding RNA (757 nucleotides) under Homo sapiens (human). RNAcentral describes it as "non-protein coding LINC01829:45". Lineage: Eukaryota; Metazoa; Chordata; Mammalia; Primates; Hominidae. The record is from RNAcentral.
UGUGGGUGGUGUCAGGGGAGCCUGGAUGGAGCCCCAGGACAGCCUGCUGAGGGUGGAAGCCUGGAUGGCAGAUGCUCAGGUCUGACUGCUGGGCUGCAGGGAAGAAAGAAAUGCCAAGCUGAACUCGCAGGGCUCUGCUGGAGUGAGGAAGCUGACUGAGGGAAGAACCAGAAGGCUGCCAAAAUACAAUUGUGUGCCUUUAAAGGAAAUAACAACAAGAAUUAGGAGCGCCCUGGAGGCAAGGUCUGCUGCUGGGGAAACCAAACCACAGUAACUUCAGAAAUAUAUACUUGGAAUAUGUCAUGUAUUAAUGGGUAAAGACACCGUGGAUAUGAAGGAAAUCACCUAUGGGAGAAUAUUAAGAAGAGAAGAAGGGGCUGCUGGCUGUAGUGAAAUGUAUAAAAAGGAGAGUGUGAUCCUAGUUUCUGUCUCUAACUAUGAGUUACUUGUGAUUAACUUCAAAUAUUCUCUCCAUAAGAAGAGGCCCAGAAGAAGAAGAUGAGCUUCAGUUAUUCUAGCACAACUGCUGUGAUAUUUGUAAAUAUUCAAAACCUAUAAUAAAAUGUAUAAAAGGAAACUCCAUUUGAAAUGAUUUGAAAUCUCACAUGGAAAUCUAUUUUUUUUAAAUCAGAGCUUAGUAAGAGAAAAUAACAGAACAUUGUAAUAAUUGAAUUACAAAAACAACUGAAUUUUGGAAAAUUUAUUUUCUCUCAUGUGAUGUGUGUGUAUGUGUGUGUGUGUGUGUGUGUAUCUAUUU